RNAcentral lists this transfer RNA (85 nucleotides) under Candidatus Shapirobacteria bacterium CG07_land_8_20_14_0_80_39_18. Its description in RNAcentral is "tRNA-Tyr". It matches the Rfam family "tRNA". From Rfam's summary of the family: Transfer RNA (tRNA) molecules are approximately 80 nucleotides in length. Lineage: Bacteria; Candidatus Shapironibacteriota. The record is from RNAcentral.
GCCAGGAUGGCGGAGUAGUCAAACGCAACGGUCUGUAAAACCGUCGGCCGCAAGGCCUACUUAGGUGCGAAUCCUAAUCCUGGCA